This is a non-coding RNA of Ornithorhynchus anatinus (platypus), 73 nucleotides long. The record is from Rfam. NCBI's taxonomy places the organism in Eukaryota, Metazoa, Chordata, Mammalia, Monotremata, Ornithorhynchidae.
AGGAGUGUGGCUUAGUGGAUAGAGCCCGGGCCUGGGAGUCAGAGGGACCUGGGUUCUAAUCCCAGCUCUGCCA